GGUAACCAAGGUUGACUGAUAAUGGGACAUUUUUGGAAGGAGGGGCAGAUGGAUAGGUGACUAAAACUGACGAACUGAGUAUUCCAUUCCAUAAUCAUCAUACUCCCUAUAUAAGAGGGUGAUCACAAGGGUGUAGCUCCCUUCGACCAUGGCUGGCAUUUAAGAGGACCCUCUCUGCAUGCCUGCGAUCUAUAGGCCUCAGGACCUGAACCCCUGAACUCCAGUUUCCAGUUUGCUGUGAAGUUCCUCCAUGACUUCUGGGUAUCUGCCCUGCAGCUGCUGGAGCCUCCAGCUUCGCUGACCCAGCUCUGCCGCCACUGGAGUGAUGCCAACUUCAUAUUGGGCAUUCAAGAUUGGGUUUACCAUUUCUAGGUCUGGGCCAUCAGUGAGUAUCUCUCCCUGGCUUUACUGGCUAUUCAUAGGAAACCACUGGGGGGAUACAUUGACAGGGGCUUCUAUGAAGUUACUAUCUCAGUAUUACUAGUCUGUUAUGUGAUAAAAGGCUAAUUGCAUUAAACAAAGACCUGACCAGGGUCAGAAAGACAAUAACAGGUGAAGGAACCCCAGUGAUCUGCCCAGUGAACUGAGGAUACCAAGUCUGCAGCUUUUUGGACAGUCCAAGGACAAUGACCAGCCCAUGGGAAUAAACUUUAUUUCUAUUGCCUGCACAAAGGGAUAGGGAGCUGGCAGCAGCCUCCUUUCCACCAGACUGGGGCAGGAGAACUUGCCUGGGUCCUGAAGAUGUCUGGAGAGAACAACCUCCAGAAGUUUGCCAUACAAUAAUUCAUUUUAUUCUGAGGUUGUGUCCACUGUUCCUUAAGAAACUCUCUAAGUAACUAGCUGUCAUCCUGUGUUCAUAUUUUUUGCACUGCUAUGCUUUUCAUACUGUUGAACUAUUAUGUCAGCUAAAGUAUUUUUCACAUCUGCCAAAUACUGUGUUUUAUUUUUUUCUCCUAUGUGUAAAAAACUAUGUGUUGUGUCAUUACCUCUCUGCCCAUCCCCACCCCCAAUUCCCUGUCCCCCCCUUUUUUUUUUUCCUCAUGUGAAAUCAAGCUUUACAUUCUGAAUACUGGAUUAUUUCCUGCUUCAUGUACAUUCACUCAUGCAUUUUGUGGAUUUACUUUUUCAUGCACAGGGAAAAAUCCAUCAGAGUAGUGUCAGUUGCAUCCUAGAAAAUGCCUGUGCAGCAGUCUCUGCUACCCAAUUAAAAGCAUUAAAAAAAAAAUAAAUUCCAUAGAUUAUCAAGGUAUUGCUUAUGCCUAUGCUACUAAGAUUAGUCUUCUCUGUAGGUAAACCGGUUGGGUCUCUGGUACAUAGCAGCUGGCUCUAGCUGCUCUUCAGGUUUAUGGUAGUAUUCCUGACACCUUACAACGUACCUGAUAUAUAUACUUUAUUUCAAUCCAAAAUGGUGGGGUUUGUGUGUGCAGCAUUUUUUUUUGUUUGUUUUGGGAGUUUGUUUGUUUGGUUUUGGUUUUUGUUUUUGGUUUUCCAUUAUUGUUGGUUUGGUUUGGUUUUGGUUUUGCUUGUUUGUUUUUGGUUUGUGUUUGGGUUUUUUUGUGUUUUUGGUGGUGGUGGUGGUGGUGUUUUUUUCUUGUCGUUGUUGUUUUUUUAAUAGUUUUCUGAUCAUCUUUGCCUUACUUUAUUUUUCCACUCUGGUUAACUGCUUCACUCAUUUUAUUCCUGCUAUCGUCUGUUACAUGGGAAAUGGAGAUGAAGACUGCAGCAGACCUAGGUUUUUUUAUAACUAGUGGAGGAGCAGGGAGUACUUCUGAGCUCUUGGGGAACAAGCUAACACUCAAAUGGAAGUGACCUUAAAAAAAUCUCUAGCUAAGAUCUAUCUUACUCAUCUUUCUAUAUAGGCUUUUACAUAGGCGCUUCCUGUAGUCAAUGGAUAAAAUUAAAUGCUUAACUUUUUGUAAGAUAAAUACCUAAAAUAUGUAAGAGACUUUGUAUCUAAAAAUACCCAUAUCCGCCAUCAACUAUGAAGUCAACUAUCAAGUUUUCACUUGACUGUCAUAUAUGCAGGCAUCUGUACUUAAGAAGUCUGAGGUUAAAAUACAAGCCCUCUCACUACCUGAAUCCAAACUGAUUUGGACUGUGCAACUUGAGCUUCUAGGUGGCACAAAUGUUUUCAAUUUGCUUAUGCCAAAGCCUGUUAGAGUACAAUUCUUCACUUCCAUUAUCCACUUUUUGUUUGGUAUAGAAUGUGAUGAGUGUGCAACUAAUAUUCUAUUAUGUAUGCUAAGGAAUCUUCAGAGGCUCCACUCUAAGAGCUGUCCAUCCCCCUUAAAAUAUGCUAAUAUAAACUAUUCAUAUUUUACGUCAUAAAGACCAGCAAUUCUUAAACAAUAUAUUACAAGUAGUUCAACAUCUCCUUGUUGUCCAAAGCAAUUCAUUUGGUGUUGUAUUGAUCCACUCAAACAAGUGAUUCCAAAAAGUCUUCAUAAAUUUUAUGUUCUCUCCUUUGCACUGUCACCUAAGAAAUAUUACAGCUACUGUUCAUGGCACAGGCUACAGAAGAUUAGUUCAGCUUGUGUGAUAAAUAGAUAAUCAGUCAUAAAUCCUCUGAAAGACAACUAGCAAAUAUCUGGAAAUGACAAAAAGGCUUGUUUAGACUCCAAGUUAGAGCUGAUCUUCACAGAUCAGAUCUUCACAGUAAAGACAACACCACUUUUCAGCUGAGCAGGCUUACAUAUUCCUUCCCAGAUUUUUCAUAUUUUCAAUUUUUUGGAGUCCUUCCUGGGCAUCACAGUACCAUGUAAUCUCUCUUUUACCAAACAGUUGCUAUAACAUUUCAGUUACAGAAGUGUCACAGAGGUAUAUCAAAACUAACCCAAACAAAGAAAAAGCUCAAACACACUUUGUUUCAUGACAAAACUGAAACGAAUGACAGAAACCAAUUAGAAAUGUGGGUGAUCCAGAGUCAAACAAGACUUCAAUAACAUUUAAUACCCCACAAGUUUGGUAAACCAGUCAGGGAUGUUAUUACUACAAGAUAACUCACAAGAAUGAUGAUCUGAAGUGUGCCUGUACUCAAUUGCAAAGGGAAACUGUCACUCAAGGGUACCCAGAAGACAGAAUUGCUCACCUGGGGAGACAGGGGAGGGACAAGGACUCACUCAAGGAUAUAUCCAGAAGAUAUAAUUUCUCACUGAGGGGGUGGGGAGAGGUGAGGAAGUUCAGUCCAGGGAAGUUUCCUUGGACGGCAUGCCAGUUACAAGGGGAGAGUUUCUGAUCAUAGUCCCUCUGCUCUUAGGAAAACCUCUCAAAGGGCAUCUCCAGUGGGGACCAUUGAUAACUGGGUCAGAUCUAAGUUGUGGUUGUAUAUGAGCAUGGUCCAGAAGCUUCUCUGGGGCUGAGGCUCCUUAUUGGCUGAGGACCCUCUUUAUUGACCAGGAGAGCCCACCUCUCCUGCUCCCUUAACUGAGGCUUGUACAUGACUGAAGUCACUGUGCCCUGGGGGUUACAUGAAGUCUGGUGCCCAACCAGUUUGCUUACGUGAUGGCAGCCAUAGUGGGGUGCAGGAAACACAAAAAUAAGGGUGCAAAAGAACCAGCAGCUGCCAUAUUGAAAGACUUGGACCUUUUUGGUGUAGGUGCAUCUACCACAAGUAGAUAUGAAAAAAUCCUGUUAUUACUAAUUAUUAUUAAUCCUGUUAUUACUAAUAAUUAUUAAAUUAUUACUGUGUAAUAAUUUAAACUAAAAAAAAAAAAAAUAAAAAGUCCUUGCAUUGUAAAUGUUGCAUAAAUAUUAAAAUUAGAACUCUCACUCAAUUUCAGGCACUUUAAGUGAAACCUGACUUUUAAUCAUAUGAAAUAUCAAAUUCUCACUCCAUUACCUUUGACUUAGAUCAGUCUCGCUUUAUACCUAAAUGGUUUAAAAGUUCACUUCAUUGGUAACUAAAGAUUAAAUUUUUUAAAAGCCAGUGGCUCAGUGCAGGCUGUACACAUGUAAAGAACAGACUUCAACAGAAAAGAAGCUGGGAUUUCGAGGGAAAUAUGCAAAAAGCUUCAAAGUAAGAAUACUGGAAUAUUAUUAGUGUUCAAUUAAGUGAAUAUUAUUUAGUUUAAGCUGCCUCAAUUCACCAAGCUAUUCUUGGGGUAGUAGAAAUAAUAAUAUAUGUGGUAAAACCACAUAAAAAUUAUUGAUUUAUAAUGUCCUAAAAUACAUUAUUAUUAGGAAAAAUCUAGAAUGUAGGAAUGUAGAACAACUGUUGCUUGCUGCCCUCAGUCUGGUUCAUGCUGAGUAGGAAUUACUCCAGAUGUAGUCUGAUUGUAAUCCAUUUGAAUUACUCCAAGUUAUAACCGAACUCACAAGGUGACAACUUAUUUCCAAAAAGCCAAUCCAUGAGCAUUUUUAAUUUGUUGGUAAAACUGAUUUAAGACAUCUCAAUCUUUUUUUUUUUCUUUUUUUCUUCAUCUGCUCUUACAUAUGCCAGCACCCACCUGUCUAUGAGUAGCAUAACUGUACAUUUGCUAAGCCUAAACAAAUAAAGAAACAAACAAAACCCAAAACUUAAAAUAAAGCCAAAUUUUAGUGACAAGAGAAUUAGAUUAAUUCCAUUUUAUUUAAUAAGGUAUUUUGCUAUUCAGUUUGAAGAAGCUUCAUUUCUUCCUUUUUACGUUCGUAGGUGGAAGAAAUGAAAAUGGGUGAAGGAAAUUUUACUUGUGUAUUCCACAUCAUGGGAUAUAUAUAUACUUACACAAUAUUUAACACCAAGAUUCAUGCCUGACAAGUAAACCAGCUACACCUAAUAGUUUUCUUCUUGUAAUGAAGUAUAGAAGACUACUCUUGGCAUAUUAUUGUGCAUGGGCCAGCCUCUUUCCAACUUCUAAUAUUAGUCAUUGCCAAAGAUUUAACUAUUUGGCUAAUAUUGUGGUCUGAACUACUGUGAUAAUACUUUUCCCCAAUAUUUUACACUUUUGUUCCUCUUACUUUUGUCAAGAUUUUCUAUAUAUUUUUCCUUCUACCUUUUUUUUAAAAAAAAUUUAAUAAGAAUAUCUAAUAAAAAUAGGAAAGGAAAUAUUUAUCAACAGGAUGUCAAAAUUACACAAACAGUGAAGUUCCUUGUAUGAAGUGAUACACAUUCUCAAAAUCUUUCUAGGCAUUGAAUAAAUAAACAAACAUGAAGUAGUCAAUAAAUAGCUAUGGAAUAAGACAAGGAUAUUAUUGAUUUUGAAAGAGAGUAAUUAAAUUGUUAUUGAAUAUAUAUUAGAUCUUAUUUUGGUUGAUGUUCAGUAUUAGUACAACCUCAAUAAAAAUACAUGAUGCAUAGUAAUAUUAUGUAUCCAAUUUGUUAUUGCUGGAAAAGGUAAAAAUUUCUAAUUAUUUAAGUAAUUAGUUUCAAAAUUUUCCCCUUGAACACUUCAGUGCUGCUUGUUAACUGAUGUUAUUCAGGCAAUAAUCAUUAGGUAUAAAACCCAGAAGCUAGUAUACACUAUAGCAUGAAAGAGAUUGAAUCAUUAAAAUUAGAUUUCCCCUCCCUCCCAAAGCAAAUCCUGCAAAAAGCUUUAGAAUUUGACCCUUGAAAAACUAUUUACUGCUUAUGUAUCAGAUCAAUUAUGCAAAAUAGAAUUUACAUGGCCAGAAAAUUUUAUUAAAUGUUUCUUCCCUUUCCCCUUCUCGCCUUCCCUCUUUGCCUCCUCUCCCUCUCCUCUUUCUCCCCAUCCUCCUUUUGGUGUUGGAGGCAACACUAAUAGAUUUGUGGAUGGCUUGCUUUCAUGUUUUGAAAGUAAUUAGAUCAUUUUUUGAAAAUUAGUCCUAAUUUGCAUUUAAAUUUGACAGUCAUCAUGAUUAAAACCAGAAUACAGGAAUUGCACCUGUGUUCCUAGUUCUAGUGGCUUUUAACAGUAUCUCACAUUGAACACUCAUUAUGGUAAUUUUGCUAAAUGUGCAGAGUAAACUGAUGUUUCAUACAGCAUGAAGUAUGUGUCCAGAAAGAAAAACUUCAGUUUUAAUUAAAAAUUUUCUCAUUGGUUUUGGACAGUCUGACUGACAUAAACAUGAUUUGCUUUUAUUUUUAGAACUUAUGUUAAACCAUAUCCUUCCACCAUGCUGGAGCACAGAGAGGAGCAUAACUUAAAAUACAGUUUAAUUUAACAAUUUCCAGAAUAACUGUGGGUUUUUUUCUGUGUUUUUCUAUCCUUUUAGUAGUUACAAACUUUCCUGUUUAAAAUUGAAAUGUCCCAAUCCACAUAAAUUUCAACGUGCCUUUUUAAUCUAAUUUUAUUGAUAAUAAUAAUUUCAUUCCUGCUCCAGAUUCUCCUCACUUCAUUUCUUCAUUUCAUAGUUAUUUUUUUUCAGGAAAAUAAGAACAAUUGGAGCAAUGGAGCUUUAACUACUCUUCAUUUUUGCUUCAAAUCUCCUGUGGCAUUGCCUUUCUUUCUCCUAAUAUUUAUAAGCAGAAGUCUAUUUGUGCAAUCAUUUGGUCCUUGACAUCAAAAUAGUACUGGAUGUCUUCUAACUAUAAACAGAAAAAAAAAAAGUUUUAAAUGUUUUAAACAUUUGUCAGUCUUUAAAGAAGAGUUUUAUUUUUUAUACUUAUGUUAAAGAUUGAAAUCUAUUAGUUGAAUCAUUAAUUAAAAUAAUAACAAUAUGGGGUAAACAAUUCCAGUUUGUCAUGGAGACAGCCCAAAACGACUCCAAGUAAAUUAUAAGCUUAAAUCAACUUUAAUUUUGCAACUGAAACCAAAAUCAAAUGGCAACCUGAAACCAGUGAGAACCAGGGGACAGGGAGGGAGUGAUCCAGAAUCAAUCAAUACUCUGAUAACAUUUAACAAACUGCAUGUUAAAUAUAUCAAUCAGGGAUAGUAUUACUACACAAAAACCAUAAAAAUUAUGAUUCAAAGCAUGCUUGCACUCACUUCAAAAAGGCCUCUAAGACUCAAGGAUAUACAGAAAAUGUAAUUGCUUGCCUAUGGGUUGGGAUCCAAGGGACAACUCAAGGAUAGAAAUAAUCACUCAUCAAGGAGAAGGUGAAGACACUCAAUCCCAGCAAGUCUCUGGGAAGACCACUCAAAGGUGGUCUUUGGUGAGGGCCUCAUUUACAGCUUGGUUGGACCUGAGCUGUGGUCAUAUAUGGGCAUGGUCCAGAAGCUUCUCUGGGCCUGGGGCACCUUGUUGGAUGACAACCCUGUCUGUUCCACUCCUCCUGCUCCCUCAAUGAUCUCAAUGAUCCUUUUUAGUCCCUUCCAACUCAGGACAUUCUAUGAUUAUAAGGUGCAUACAUGGCAACAGCUGUGGUAGGGCAGAAGAGGCACCAAAGUAAGGCACGGAAGAGCCAGCAGCUGCUGUGUUGAAAGUCUUGGACCUUAUCAGGGUAUGUGCAACUGCCACACAACUAAUCAGAACAAACCUCUUUGUUUUGUUUAUUUCCUGAUAAUAAUGAAUGCUUUAAUAUCUGAAAGCACGUUAAUUAUACCUCUGAUUAACCAGAGCAAUUUGUUAUCACAGCAUUUUUAUAGUUUCAUACAUUUCACAAGAAGCUACAGUGUACAGUUUGUGUAGAUGAGAUAAAAAUUCCACAGUAACAUUUCCCUGUUGAAAAUGGUGGUGGUAGAGAUUUUUACAGCCAUUUCCUCUUCACUCCAAAGAAAGGAAAGAAUGACUCGAAAAGAGUAAGACCAUAUUAAAGUGCUCACAUUGUUAAAUGAAGUGGUUAAUAACAGCAAAAGAAACUGUUUCCAGAUGAUUUCAGAUGACAAGCUCAGUGAGCAUAAGUGGAAAUGAAAAAAAAACCAAAACCAACAAUGCAGAGUAGACGUUAAAAAGUACCUUUUCACCUGUAGAAUAGUAAACUCACAGAACUGUGUAGCAGACAAGGAUGCUGACUUAGAAAUAUGAGGAUCGGUCAAGGAAUAAUUAGAAUAGCUCCAGGGAAUGAAGUUUAAAGAGGUGCUUUUAUACAGGCUCACAACUUUCCUGCUCUGCCCUCCCUGAUUUUUUCUGUUUUUAUUGCAUUGCCUUCACCCCACUGUUUUCAAUAUUGCCAACAUUUGUGAUUUAAACAUGUAAAUUCAUUUAUGGAUGGAUUUUGUUCUUGGUUAAAAUAAAUAAAUAAAUAAAUAAAUAAAUACAGUAUAUACACAAGAAAAAAAACAUGCAGUGGAAUGAGUACUCUUAUGCAGAAACCAGGAAAACAUCUUCACAGAUUUGAUGAGUAUGAAAACUUCUCUAAUGUGAUAUUUAGUCUGAUAAAUUAUUAGAAUAUUUUAAAAUUAGAAUUUCCUGUUGAGAAUAUGAUACCUAUCAUGGAUUUAACAAUCAUAUAAAGAGGUCUUAAAAGUCUGAAUAAUUGAAGUAUUUUAUUUGCUAUAUAUUCUGUCUGGCAUAUAUGUUGAUAACUUCUAAUAAAAUCAAGUAAAGACUUAAAUUAAAAAAGUAAUUUAAAAAAAGAUUCAGUAGCUAGUAUCCUAUUGAAUAUGGUCAGAUUUAGAUGCAUUAGUGUUGAACACCUUUCUUAGAUUUUCCUAUGAUAUAGUCACAAAUGGCUUGAUACUUCAGGAAAAAAGAAAAUUUAAAUAUGUUGCAGUCUGAAGUUGAAAGAACUUGAAUCUCUGUUUGCUUUUCAAAUUCCAACUCAUAUUUUCCAUUAUUUUUUUUUUCCUCCCCCCAUUCUAAUCCAUUAAUACCAUUCUCAAAUUAAUAUAAUGAUGGUGGAAUUACCCUAAAAAUUUAACUGAGGAUUUCAUUUGGAACAACAUGGAAUAGGAAACUUUGAAGAUAUAACAGAAAGUGAUGGUCACUGAGAUAUUAUUUUUAGUUUUAGAAGUGGCUUUGACCAGUACUUGCGUUAGAGCUCGUACAUAACUAAAUUCCCUAUACUUAGGAAAUUUGUACUGAAAAAAAAAAAAAGUAAACAACUAAACAAGCAUGUGUUCAGAACUAAGUUGUGUCUAAGUGCAACAGACUAUUAAAAAUAUUUGGACUCAGCUGCCUAAACAGGGGCAACUAGUCUCAUUUUAGACACGUAAGCAUAUUUCACCCCUAAAAUUUUCAUCAUUUAAUUAUUUGAUUUACACUGAAUGCAUGAUCAGUUUGUCUCUAAUAAAGGUAGAAAAAAUCCACGAGAUGAUGUAACUUAAUUUAAUUACAGACAAAAUUAAGGAUAUUUUUGUCAACCACUAAGUUGUUUGUUUUUUUUUUUUUAAUUUGAAUUUCAUGCCAUGUAGUUGAAGAAUAUUGUCCUAGCAAUUUUAGCUGUUUGCAAAAUACUUAAAUUCAGUAAAUAAAUCUAGAUAUUUUCUAUAGAGAAUUAUUUAUUACUGAUAGUUUAAAUAUAUGUGCAUUUGUGCUAAGUAAUUAGUAUUACAUAUAUUUGCUACUUAAGGAGGAUCAAGUUUACACAGUACCAAGAGAAGAGCAGAAAGCUGCUGGCCCAGGUAAAAAGUCCUUCUGAUGAGCUUCUUUAUUUGUUCAUUUAUUCAUGUUUUUGUUCUGUUUUAGCUUCUGCAUACAUUAUUAGUCUUUCAUAUUUUGCCAACACACUGGCAGUUCUGUGAGUCUAUCCUUCCACCCCUGGUAUAUCAUAAAGUUCACCUCGUAAGGAUAUAUGACUGAUCACCCUUGGAUGAUCAUCACCAAGUAAAGAGAAGUGCUAAUUCUAACUUACCACAUGGGAAACAAAAGACACAUUGCCCCGACAAAAGACAAAAUAGUCUAUGUCCAGUGAAAGCUUCCUAAUGAAGAUGGUGCUGACUCUGGGGAUAGAGAAGCUGCAGAAAUACUCCUGCAUAACAACAAGGAUGAUAUUCUACUGUUUAUGUGAGAGUAUGGCACUGGCUCAGAUACUGGGCUGAGAGGUUGUGCCAAUGCCUCUUCCAGCAUUCAGUCACAGUCUCACGGUUUUACUAAUUCACAGUGACUGUUUGUAACUCAACCAUAUACAUUCACUGAAAAGUCUCAAAUAUGUUCUGGCAAGAUUACAUAGAUUCAACAGCACUAUUUGUUGCCCAACAGCCUGAAGAAGGUAUUGUCAUUUCUGUGAUUUUGUGAGUUCUAUUUGACCUUUUACCACAUAUUUUGCUUCUUUCUAGAAUUUGCAUUCAUGCAUUCAGACAAUCAGAAAUAGGAACGGGAAACUGCAUGAUUCUGUAUAAUGAUGUUUUAAACUGCACUUUAUAUAUAUAUAUUUUUUUUAACCAUUUAAAAGGGUUUAUGGAGUAGCAUGUGCUAUGAUUCUGAUUCUGUAAAGACUUAAAUCCUUAUUUCUCUCUCUUGUUUAAGUACUUCAGACUAUACACAUAGGCAAAGCUAAACAUGAACAUGUGUGGGUUUUGGAACAUUUAACAUUUUAAUAUCUCUACCGUGCAGGUUGCGCAUCGACAAAUCAGUGUAAAUUAUAGAGAGAAAAGGAGAAAAAAGUGUGUCUUGCAAUUCGUGUUUAAAAAACUUAAAAGAAAGCAGUUCCUGUUCCCUAUGGAAAUCAGACACCUGAGGACCACUGCAUAAUGAAACGCUUCAUCUUAUUGGUUCUAAUGCAACACCCCCAGUUUCAUUAGUAUUUCUGUACUGCAAACAAUAAACAAACAAUCCUCAAACAUCCUCUUCAGGAUACUCGCAAUUUAAAAACUUUGAUCAUCUUUCCAGUCAGUUGUCUCUUUUCCAGGAUGAAGAGACAUAAUCUAUUAAUUGGUCGUUGAGUGGAAAUAAUCCGGUAUCAUUCAAUCCCGUCAGUGACUUUUCCUGCCCUCUCUGACUGUUAAAUCCUACUGUUUUUCUUGUUUUUCUCAUUUCCUAUUAAUUAUCUGUGACCUGCUUUUUUUUUUUUUUUUAAGCUAUCUUUGAAUAUCAGUUUAGACUGUUUUUCAGAAUAUUUGUUGUAAACUUUUCAAAAAGAAUUAUUUGUAUGUCCAGAAUAAAUUACACAAAACCAGAUUAUGACUUUGACCUUGUGGUAGAUGUUGUGAGAGAAUUAAUUCUAAUGAAUAGUCUUGACAUUUUAAAGUUCAAAAAACUGAUACUUAGAAUAGAAAAUUAAAGAAAAUUAACAAAUAUGUAAAGUUAUGAGCAUGAAUAUUAAUACCACCUAUAUAAGCUCAUAUCAGUUUAAAGAUAAUCACUUGGAAAUUUAACAACUUUAAAAUGAAAAAAAAUAAAUUGUUUAU
Molecule: long non-coding RNA, 11105 nt
Organism: Columba livia (rock pigeon)
Lineage: Eukaryota; Metazoa; Chordata; Aves; Columbiformes; Columbidae
Exons: 4
Source: RefSeq, a predicted model, not a curated record